Molecule: RNA transcript, 2115 nt
Organism: Sycon ciliatum
Lineage: Eukaryota; Metazoa; Porifera; Calcarea; Leucosolenida; Sycettidae
Exons: 2
Source: RefSeq, a predicted model, not a curated record
GAGCCGUACUGUUAUGAAGUCUGCUUUCAUCAUUCGAGUUUCAUGUUUGUUAGCCCAAGAUUGUCCUCGGAUGUAUGACCAGAAUGGCGAACUCAAAGCAGCCUUCAAAUGGCCACAAUUAUAGGCCGGAAUGUGAUGACAUGCUUCCCAGCGUUGAACAAAUUCUCAACGAAAAAAUGUCGUUGUUUGAACGAGCAUUGAACACGGCCCAUAGCCAGCAAGAGCGGCGACGGGUCGAGGAGAUACGCACAAGUUGCGAGGAUCGAGUCGACAAGUUCGCAACAGCACUCACGAAAGCAUGCGAGACAACGUCUGAAAAAAUGAUACAGCAAAUGGAUGAGAAAACAAAGCUACUUCUUGCUGAAAAGGAGCGGGAAAUGGAGGAAGACAGCCGGAAGAAGUCGGAAGAGUUCGCGAGGCGCUGCCUACGAGCACGCGAAAAUUUACAAACAGAGCUGGAAAAAGAAGCCGAUCGAGAGGCGACCAGGUUGAAAAACAAGGUAGACGAGGCCACAGGGAAGCUCCGGUCAGAUUAUACGCAGGAUCAUAGCAAGCGGUGCUCAUCGCUGGCAGACUCCGUCAGGCGGGAUGCAGCGGCGACCUUGGCUGCGGACGAGGCGGCCGUCAUGCGGAAGCAUCGUCAGCGCAUGCUGGAUACCAUAGCCAGCACGACCCAGCGAUACGAUUUCCUGCUGCGGGAUGUGGAGCGUCGCUCGAUGGACGACCACCUGCACUUGUCGGCCCAGCUGCUCGAGCUGCAACUGUCGCAGUCGUUGGGAGCAGCGGAGAUGGAAAUGCUUGAACAUACCCGCCAGUGGUGCGGGCGAAUGGGUCAGCCGCUUCAGGCCCUGGGCGAUGCUGUGCCAGAGCUGGGCGAAGUGCGACAACGGCUGGAAGCAAGGCAUCACCUGCGGAAGUACAAGCUGAAAGGUGAUUGACGAAGAACACUCAUAUCACGUAGAAACACUCCAGACUUGUGACCACUGUGUGUGCCGCUGUGCAGGCACUGCUACAGGGCGCAAACUUGACUCACAAUUGCUACCGGAGAAGGUCGUCCAACGCCACCUUCGAACCAACCAGUGCCUCCGUAUACUCGAUUGAUGAUACCGUCAGCACCACUCCUCUGUGGAUGCCCUCUGCCUUCCCACUGACAGUCUCUUCGCUGCCAAGGACAGGGGAAAUGUGACCGGACUAUGCACAUUGGACAUGUCGAACACAUUUGACAAAGUCUGCCACACCCAGCUCAUUGUUGAUCUGUUUGAUGUCGGUGUGUGCGAAUCGCCCCCGCCUGGUUUGCAAGCUACCUGACGACGCAAGAGCAGAUGGUUUGCAUUCGGCCAACCACGAGUCAGGCCACCCCCUGCAUGUGCGGGGUGCUGCAAGGAUCUGUUCUAGGUCCUGUGCUAUUUUCCAUUUACACCCGCCACAUUCCCUCCGUCCUGCACCCUGUACCCAGCAUCCAGUUUGCAGAUAGCAUAGCAUUGUAUUCAUCGCAGAGUUCUGCUGGCGCUGCCCUGCGCUACGUUCAACCAAGAGUACAUAACCCCCCAGAGUGUGCAACGCCUGAUCCAGCUCUGCAUAGGGUCUUGGUCGAGCGUAAUUGGAUCUUCUGAUGUCAUGCGUACACUCCACACCAGCACAAGGCCGGUCUCGAGGCAGAGUACCGUUGAUUUUGAUCCGAGAGUACCCGCGACUCCCCGGGUUCCCCUCAGAUGUGCACAGUAUGUAUAAUAUGACGCAAAGAUCCGAUUACGCUCGACCAAGACCCUACGCAGAGCCGGAUCAGGUGUUGCACACUCUGGGGGGUUAUGUACUCUUGGUUCAACGGAACGUCCAACCUGAAAUGCUAAGAACGCCACAGCCUAAAUGACGGUGUUGGUUUUCCGGCAGCUUUUGGAAUAUUUAAUGAUCCAAUACAAAUUGUUUCUAAGAACGUGCUAUCAGAAGGCAGCAAGAUUGCUGAAAGAUAAGAAUGCCCCAGGCUAACCCCUUGGAAACAAGUUAGGGCAUCCAACUCUACUGUAACCAGUCUGCGCUGUACAUCAUCACAUCUCUUUGCUGUACAUCAUCACAUCUCUUUGCUGUACAUCAUCACAUCUCUUUGCUGUACAUCAU